RNAcentral lists this ribosomal RNA (396 nucleotides) under uncultured bacterium. Its description in RNAcentral is "partial 16S ribosomal RNA". It matches the Rfam family "Bacterial small subunit ribosomal RNA", at positions 523 to 918 of the family's 1533-position model. The record is from RNAcentral.
AUACGUAGGUGGCAAGCGUUGUCCGGAAUUAUUGGGCGUAAAGCGCAUGUAGGCGGUGCCUUAAGUCUGUCGUGAAACUGCGGGGCCUAACCCCGUAUGGCGAUGGAAACUGUGGCACUUGAGUGCAGGAGAGGAAAGGGGAACUCCCAGUGUAGCGGUGAAAUGCGUAGAUAUUGGGAAGAACACCGGUGGCGAAGGCGCCUUUCUGGACUGUGUCUGACGCUGAGAUGCGAAAGCCAGGGUAGCGAACGGGAUUAGAUACCCCGGUAGUCCUGGCCGUAAACGAUGGGUACUAGGUGUGGGAGGUAUCGACCCCUUCCGUGCCGGAGUUAACGCAAUAAGUACCCGGCCUGGGGAGUACGGCCGCAAGGCUUAAACUCAAAUGAAUUGACGGGG